CCUACGGGAGGCUGCAGUGGGGAAUAUUGCACAAUGGGGGAAACCCUGAUGCAGCGACGCCGCGUGAGUGAAGAAGUAAUUCGUUAUGUAAAGCUCUAUCAGCAGGGAAGAAAAUGACGGUACCUGAGUAAGAAGCCCCGGCUAACUACGUGCCAGCAGCCGCGGUAAUACGUAGGGGGCAAGCGUUACCCGGAUUUACUGGGCGUAAAGGGAGCGUAGACGGCAGUGCAAGUCUGAAGUGAAAGGCGGGGGCUCAACCCCAGGACUGCUCUUGAAACUGUAAGGCUUGAGUGCAGGAGAGGUAAGUGGAAUUCCUGGUGUAGCGGUGAAAUGCGUAGAGAUUAGGAGGAACACCAGUUGCGAAGGCGGCCUACUGGACCAUAACUGACGUUGAGGCUCGAAAGCGUGGGGAGCAAACAGGAUUAGAUACCCGGGUAGUC
This 440-nucleotide ribosomal RNA is filed under the name uncultured bacterium. RNAcentral describes it as "partial 16S ribosomal RNA". It matches the Rfam family "Bacterial small subunit ribosomal RNA", at positions 338 to 795 of the family's 1533-position model. The record is from RNAcentral.